Malania oleifera is the source of this 183-nucleotide long non-coding RNA. RefSeq lists it as uncharacterized. The transcript is spliced from 2 exons. NCBI's taxonomy places the organism in Eukaryota, Viridiplantae, Streptophyta, Magnoliopsida, Santalales, Ximeniaceae. The record is from RefSeq and is a predicted model, not a curated record.
CUUUGAAUUACGAAUCCAUGGUGGGAUUUUCCUCCUGGGCCCAGGCCCAUUAAAUACUCCGGACAAGUGACAACCACAUUCCAGUGGGCUCCACAACUAUGGCCUCGCGUAAGGGUUGUAAACACACCAGCUGUUUGGGGAAAUGCCUAAGCGUAUCCUGAACCCAUCUUGAUCCACUUGAAG